AGAAUCAACGCUGGCGGCGUGCCUAACACAUGCAAGUCGCACGAGAAAGGGACUUCGGUCCUGAGUACAGUGGCGCACGGGUGAGUAACACGUGAAUAAUCUACCUCCGAGUGGGGAAUAACUGAGAGAAAUCUUAGCUAAUACCGCAUAACACUUACGAGUCAAAGCAGCAAUGCGCUUGGAGAGGAGUUCGCGGCAGAUUAGUUAGUUGGCGGGGUAAUGGCCCACCAAGACGAUGAUCUGUAUCCGGCCUGAGAGGGCGCACGGACACACUGGAACUGAAACACGGUCCAGACUCCUACGGGAGGCAGCAGUGGGGAAUUUUGCGCAAUGGGGGAAACCCUGACGCAGCAACGCCGCGUGGAGGAUGAAAUAUCUUGGUAUGUAAACUCCUUUCGAUGGGGAAGAUAAUGACGGUACCACAGAAGAAGCCCCGGCUAACUUCGUGCCAGCAGCCGC
This 459-nucleotide ribosomal RNA is filed under the name uncultured bacterium. Its description in RNAcentral is "SSU rRNA". It matches the Rfam family "Bacterial small subunit ribosomal RNA", at positions 26 to 518 of the family's 1533-position model. The record is from RNAcentral.